RNAcentral lists this ribosomal RNA (121 nucleotides) under Puccinia ferruginosa. RNAcentral's name for it is "partial 5.8S rRNA". It matches the Rfam family "5.8S ribosomal RNA", at positions 35 to 154 of the family's 154-position model. From Rfam's summary of the family: 5.8S ribosomal RNA (5.8S rRNA) is a component of the large subunit of the eukaryotic ribosome. It is transcribed by RNA polymerase I as part of the 45S precursor that also contains 18S and 28S rRNA. Lineage: Eukaryota; Fungi; Basidiomycota; Pucciniomycetes; Pucciniales; Pucciniaceae. RNAcentral also lists the same sequence under 1 other name. The record is from RNAcentral.
GAUGAAGAACACAGUGAAAUGUGAUAAGUAAUGUGAAUUGCAGAAUUCAGUGAAUCAUUAAAUCUUUGAACGCACCUUGCACCUUUUGGUAUUCCAAAAGGUACACCUGUUUGAGUGUCAU